RNAcentral lists this ribosomal RNA (385 nucleotides) under marine Metazoa environmental sample. Its description in RNAcentral is "SSU rRNA". It matches the Rfam family "Eukaryotic small subunit ribosomal RNA", at positions 587 to 972 of the family's 1831-position model. The record is from RNAcentral. Lineage: Eukaryota; Metazoa.
AGCUCCAAUAGCGUAUAUUAAAGUUGCUGCAGUUAAAAAGCUCGUAGUUGGAUCUCGGGGUACCUGGUCUAGCCGGUAUAGCUCACGCUAAAACUGGUCUGACCCCCCAACGUGAGGUAUUCGUCUCCGGGUGCACUUCAUUGGGUGCUCGUGAGGGGCCUCGUAGUUACUGUGAAAAAAUUAGAGUGUUCAAAGCAGGCUCAUAUGUUCGGAUAGUCGUGCAUGGAAUAACUGAUUCGGUACCGGCGCCUUUCAAGUGGGCCCGGGCGCCUGUUAAAUGGAUAAAGAGGGCCGCCCGGGGCAUUGGUAUGGCGGGGUUAGAGGUGAAAUUCUUGGAUCCUCGCCAGACCAACAAAAGCGAAAGCAUUUGCCAAGAAUGUCUUCA